RNAcentral lists this ribosomal RNA (292 nucleotides) under uncultured bacterium. Its description in RNAcentral is "partial 16S ribosomal RNA". The record is from RNAcentral.
GGACUACUGGGGUAUCUAAUCCUGUUCGCUACCCACGCUUUCGCUUCUCAGCGUCAGUUACUGCCCAGAGACCCGCCUUCGCCACCGGUGUUCCUCCUGAUAUCUGCGCAUUUCACCGCUACACCAGGAAUUCCAGUCUCCCCUGCAGUACUCUAGUCCGCCCGUAUCGCCCGCAAGCUAACAGUUGAGCUGCCAGUUUUCACGAGCGACGCGACGAACCGCCUACAAGCUCUUUACGCCCAGUAAUUCCGGACAACGCUCGCACCCUACGUAUUACCGCGGCUGCUGGCAC